AUUGAACGCUGGCGGCAGGCCUAACACAUGCAAGUCGAGCGAGAAAGGUCUUCGGACUGAGUACAGCGGCGGACGGGUGAGUAAAGCGUAGGAAUCUACCUGGUAGUGGGGGAUAACUUGGGGAAACUCAAACUAAUACCGCAUACGCCCUACGGGGAAAGCGGGGACCUUCGGGCCUCGCGCUAUCAGAUGAGCCUGCGUAGGAUUAGCUAGUUGGUGAGGUAAAGGCUCACCAAGGCGACGAUCCUUAGCUGGUCUGAGAGGAUGAUCAGCCACACUGGGACUGAGACACGGCCCAGACUCCUACGGGAGGCAGCAGUGGGGAAUAUUGCGCAAUGGGCGAAAGCCUGACGCAGCCAUGCCGCGUGUGUGAGAAGGCCUUAGGGUUGUAAAGCACUUUCAAUUGGGAGAAAGUUGGUCGUUAAUAGCGGCCAGCCCUGACAUUACCUUUAGAAGAAGGACCGGCUAACUCCGUGCCAGCAGUCCGCGGUAAAGUCGUACGA
Molecule: ribosomal RNA, 503 nt
Filed under: uncultured bacterium
Lineage: Bacteria
Description: bacterial SSU rRNA
Rfam family: Bacterial small subunit ribosomal RNA
Source: RNAcentral